UAACUGAAGAGUUUGAUCAUGGCUCAGAUUGAACGCUGGCGGCAGGCUUAACACAUGCAAGUCGAGCGGGGGAAGGUAGCUUGCUACUGGACCUAGCGGCGGACGGGUGAGUAAUGCUUAGGAAU
This 125-nucleotide ribosomal RNA is filed under the name Acinetobacter baumannii. RNAcentral's name for it is "partial 16S ribosomal RNA". It matches the Rfam family "Bacterial small subunit ribosomal RNA", at positions 1 to 124 of the family's 1533-position model. Lineage: Bacteria; Pseudomonadati; Pseudomonadota; Gammaproteobacteria; Moraxellales; Moraxellaceae. The record is from RNAcentral.